UAAAUGAUGAAAACGUACGCUUGGCAUCUGAAUAAUUUAUUUGAAGAUAAAUUCUUAAUCAGUUAUCCCUAUCUGAUAAAAAAAAAAA
RNAcentral lists this small nucleolar RNA (88 nucleotides) under Plasmodium billcollinsi. RNAcentral's name for it is "Plasmodium sp. DRC-Itaito small nucleolar RNA snoR09". It matches the Rfam family "small nucleolar RNA snoR09". The record is from RNAcentral. Lineage: Eukaryota; Apicomplexa; Aconoidasida; Haemosporida; Plasmodiidae.